UCGGGGUAUAGCGCAGCUUGGCUAGCGCGGCUGGUUUGGGACCAGUAGGUCGGGGGUUCAAAUCCCUCUACCCCGAUCCA
This 80-nucleotide transfer RNA is filed under the name Candidatus Anoxychlamydiales bacterium. Its description in RNAcentral is "tRNA-Pro". It matches the Rfam family "tRNA". Rfam says of the family: Transfer RNA (tRNA) molecules are approximately 80 nucleotides in length. Lineage: Bacteria; Pseudomonadati; Chlamydiota; Chlamydiia; Candidatus Anoxychlamydiales. The record is from RNAcentral.